This 350-nucleotide unclassified non-coding RNA is filed under the name soil metagenome. Its description in RNAcentral is "partial contains 5.8S ribosomal RNA, internal transcribed spacer 2, and large subunit ribosomal RNA". The stretch from base 1 to 120 matches the Rfam family "5.8S ribosomal RNA", at positions 35 to 154 of the family's 154-position model. The record is from RNAcentral.
GAUGAAGAACGUAGCGAACUGCGAUAAGUAAUGUGAAUUGCAGAAUUCAGUGAAUCAUCGAGUCUUUGAACGCACAUUGCGCCCCCUGGCAUUCCGGGGGGCAUGCCUGUCCGAGCGUCAUUGCUGCCCUUCAAGCCUGGCUUGUGUGUUGGGUCGUCGUCCCCCCCGGGGGACGGGCCCGAAAGGCAGCGGCGGCACCGCGUCCGGUCCUCGAGCGUAUGGGGCUUUGUCACCCGCUCGAUUAGGGCCGGCCGGGCGCCAGCCGGCGUCUCCAACCUUCUAUUUUACCAGGUUGACCUCGGAUCAGGUAGGGAUACCCGCUGAACUUAAGCAUAUCAAUAAGCGGAGGA